CGGACGACGAAGGGGGAGAUGGGGGUGAAAUGGGUGGUGGAGAUUUGAGAAAAUUCAAGUGAUAGAGACGGAACGGUGGGGAAGGUAAGGCUUGGGUUUUUGCGGUGGUGGUCUUUGAUUAGGGAGUGAAAUUUGCCUGCUAGUAAAGAUUCCUCGUUAGAGAGAGCAGCGUUGAAGUCAUCUUGUGAGCUUAUAGUAGAAGACGAGAAAGAGGAAGAAAAGAGAUUGGGGAAGCGCUGAGAGAGAGGAGACAAGAAGAUUGGUACAACUAGCUUCGGUUUGAAGGUGACCAUUGACGGCUAUGGCUGCUUCG
Molecule: unclassified non-coding RNA, 313 nt
Filed under: Hevea brasiliensis (rubber tree)
Lineage: Eukaryota; Viridiplantae; Streptophyta; Magnoliopsida; Malpighiales; Euphorbiaceae
Source: RNAcentral